UACGUAGGGUGCAAGCGUUGCCCGGAUUUAUUGGGCGUAAAGCGUGCGUAGGCGGCUGCGCAAGUCGGUUGUGAAACCCCGGGGCUCAACCCCGGAACUGCAUCCGAUACUGCGUGGCUAGAGGUAGGUAGGGGAGAUCGGAAUUCCUGGUGUAGCGGUGAAAUGCGCAGAUAUCAGGAGGAACACCGGUGGCGAAGGCGGAUCUCUGGGCCUUACCUGACGCUCAGGCACGAAAGCUAGGGGAGCGAACAGG
RNAcentral lists this ribosomal RNA (253 nucleotides) under uncultured bacterium. Its description in RNAcentral is "partial 16S ribosomal RNA". It matches the Rfam family "Bacterial small subunit ribosomal RNA", at positions 524 to 776 of the family's 1533-position model. The record is from RNAcentral.